UCAGUACCCAGGACAGAACUGAGGCCCACUGAAGAAAGGGUGCCCUCCCGGGAGGAGGGAGUACCUGGAGAUUGAGAAGAGAGGCUAGGGAUGGAAAAGAAUGCAUUUGCCAGAUCAAGGAUUGCAUACCAUGUACCUGUUCAUCUGCUCUAGCAAUGAUACCACAUCAGGCAAGGCAGCUAUAAAAGUCCAAGAAUGCUGAGCUCCUGGCCUCUGAGUGGGGGUCCACCACCUGGAUUGGGAAGUUCUGGAGACUGAAUUUAUGCCACAAAGCACUGACUCCACACUCAGCUCUCAGGGGCAGCAGGUUGGAGCUUCAGAGCACAGCCCCCACCCGUUCUGCCCAGAAUCCGUGACCACCUGCCAAGAUGUGGCCGGAUGGUACACACCAGUCCUGGUACAUGGGGUCACCAUGGUUGGAGACACUUUCCCAAGAAGCUGCCCUGAUCCUAUAACCAGGCCCUUCUCUCUGACAUGAAGAAGCUUACAUGAGGCACAGGGUUUGGUUGGCUGGAGACUUACUAUUAUUAUUAUUAUUAUUAUUAUUAUUAUUAAUGUUUAUUUUUGAGAGAGAGAGAGCACGCGUGAACGCACAAAUGGGGUAGGGGUAGAGAGAGAGGGAAAGAAUUCCAAGCAGGCUCUCUGCUGUCAGCACAGAGUCUGCCGAGGGGCUUAAACUCACAAACCUGUGAGAUCGCGACCUGAGCCAAGAUCAAGAGUCAGACACUUCACUGACUGAGCCACCCAGGCGCCCUAAGGAGGCUUUUGAUACAAUAAGUUUGUUUCAUUGUUUUUUUUUUUUUCAAUGCUGGAAUCAUCUCCAAUUUGGUCAUUAUUUUGGCCAGAGCAAAAUACCAGGUGAAAUUUUGAAAAGAAAGAAAACUGUCCCAUUAGGGAUUAAAAGACAGUCAGGGCUCACCAUUUCUGUAAAUCUUCUAUAACUUGAGUUGAUGUGGAAUUCACAUGGAGGAUGAACAUGCCAUUUGCCCUGUAAUGCAGGGCUGGCUUUACAGGCUGGCAAUCUGUGCAAUCAUGCAGUCACUUAGCAGGGCCUGUGCUGGGGCGUCUGGCUGUGUCAGUAGGAAGAGCAAGCAACUAUUGAACUGGGGGUUCUGAGUUUGAGCUCCAC
This is a long non-coding RNA of Acinonyx jubatus (cheetah), 1129 nucleotides long. RefSeq lists it as uncharacterized. The record is from RefSeq and is a predicted model, not a curated record. The transcript has 3 exons. Lineage: Eukaryota; Metazoa; Chordata; Mammalia; Carnivora; Felidae.